This 425-nucleotide ribosomal RNA is filed under the name uncultured bacterium. RNAcentral's name for it is "bacterial SSU rRNA". It matches the Rfam family "Bacterial small subunit ribosomal RNA", at positions 356 to 772 of the family's 1533-position model. The record is from RNAcentral.
CGGGAAUUUUGGGCAAUGGGCGAAAGCCUGACCCAGCAACGCCGCGUGGAGGAUGAAGACCUUCGGGUCGUAAACUCCUUUCGACCGAGAUGAACAGCCACUGACCUAAUACGUCGGUGGCCUGACAGUAUCGAGGGAAGAAGCCCCGGCUAACUCCGUGCCAGCAGCCGCGGUAAUACGGGGGGGGCAAGCGUUGUUCGGAAUUACUGGGCGUAAAGGGUUCGUAGGUGGCCAACUAAGUCAUACGUGAAAUCCCUCAGCUUAACUGGGGAACUGCGUCUGAUACUGGUUGGCUUGAGUGCAGGAGAGGAACGCGGAAUUCCAGGUGUAGCGGUGAAAUGCGUAGAUAUCUGGAGGAACACCGGUGGCGAAGGCGGCGUUCUGGACUGCAACUGACACUGAGGAACGAAAGCCAGGGGAGCAAA